UUCGCAAUGCCCGAAAGGGUGACGAAGCGACGCCGCGUGGGUGAGGAAGGCCUUCGGGUUGUAAAGCCCUGUCAGGAGUUAAGAAAUGUAAGUGUGCUAAUACCGCAUUUGCUUGACGAAGGCUCCAAAGGAAGCCACGGCUAACUCUGUGCCAGCAGCCGCGGUAAUACAGAGGUGGCAAGCGUUGUUCGGAAUUAUUGGGCGUAAAGAGCACGUAGGUGGGUUUGUAAGUCAGAUGUGAAAGCCUUCUGUUCAACGGAAGAAUUGCAUCUGAAACUGCGAGUCUUGAGUGUAGGAGGGGAGAAUGGAACUUCUGGUGGAGCGGUGAAAUGCGUAGAUAUCAGAAGGAACGCCGGCGGCGAAAGCGAUUCUCUGGCCUAUUACUGACACUCAGUGUGCGAAAGCUAGGGGAGCAAACGGGAUUAGAUACCCCGGUAGUCCUAGCCGUAAACGAUGGGCACUAAGUAGAGGGGUUUUAAUC
Molecule: ribosomal RNA, 481 nt
Filed under: uncultured anaerobic ammonium-oxidizing bacterium
Lineage: Bacteria
Description: bacterial SSU rRNA
Rfam family: Bacterial small subunit ribosomal RNA
Source: RNAcentral